CCUGCUCCUAGAGGCAGGGCCGGUGUGGCUGCUGUGUCACACGUGCGUCAGAAGGUGUUGGAGAGGAAAGAGGCUAUGCCUAUGCUCAGUGUUCUGACGUAAGAACAUCGAGCCUGAGAUGACCACCAGG
Molecule: small nucleolar RNA, 130 nt
Filed under: Meriones unguiculatus (Mongolian gerbil)
Lineage: Eukaryota; Metazoa; Chordata; Mammalia; Rodentia; Muridae
Description: Small nucleolar RNA SNORA17 (ENSMUGG00000018061.1)
Rfam family: Small nucleolar RNA SNORA17
About the family: snoRNA ACA 17 belongs to the H/ACA family of snoRNAs and is predicted to guide pseudouridylation of the 28S rRNA at positions U4659 and U4598. It shares the same host gene together with ACA43.
Source: RNAcentral